Long non-coding RNA from Vanessa tameamea, 724 nucleotides. RefSeq lists it as uncharacterized. NCBI's taxonomy places the organism in Eukaryota, Metazoa, Arthropoda, Insecta, Lepidoptera, Nymphalidae. The record is from RefSeq and is a predicted model, not a curated record. The transcript is spliced from 3 exons.
AUUUCAAAUAACAUAUUUGAUACAAUGGAAGGCAAAAAAAAUUGGUCGAAAAAUGAAGUAUUUAAAUUAAUCGCCCGAUAUAAACAUUAUAGAGAAUUAUGGGAUACUAAAUCUAUAGAGUAUAGAAAUACUCUUAAAAGAAGAAAUGCACAUAGUAAAUUAGCUGCUGAAUUUAAAACCACAAUUGCUGAAAUAGGUAGGAAGAUCCGCAUUCUACGAAGUCAAUUUUUUUAUGAAUACAAGAAAAUGUAUAAUGAUGAAGAUGAGUAUGAAUCCUCUUCACAGAGUGCAUACGUAACCAAGUGGAAGUACUAUGAACCUUUACAAUUUAUUCUUGUUUCAAAGGAAGAUAUGGUGGAUGGUUCUGAUCUCCUGGAUUAUAAUAAAGAUAUAUUUGAAGAUUCAAGCUCAAAAGUCAGUCAGGAUUCAAACAGUGACUCGGAAGAUGACAAUGAACCACAAAUCUUAAUUGUAAGUCAGAAAAGAAAAAGGUCUAAUUCAUCAACAGAUAGCAGCAACAACCAAUCGGACCCAAAUUUUCAAGUUGACAAUGAUGAAUUUCAGAUAUUUGGUAAUUAUGUGGCAAAUGAAUUAAGAGCAAUGCAUUAUGAGAAAAAUAAAAAAGAAUUGAAAAGAUUGAUUCAACAGCAUAUUAUAAGAUUGACAGAAGAAGAUGACCGAGAAUACUAUUCAAAUUGAAAAAAUCUUUAAUAAAAUUUAUAAA